GGGAAUAUUGCACAAUGGGCGAAAGCCUGAUGCAGCGACGCCGCGUGAGGGAUGACGGCCUUCGGGUUGUAAACCUCUUUCAGCACGGAAGAAGCGAAAGUGACGGUACGUGCAGAAGAAGCGCCGGCUAACUCCGUGCCAGCAGCCGCGGUAAUACGUAGGGCGCAAGCGUUGUCCGGAAUUAUUGGGCGUAAAGAGCUCGUAGGCGGUUUGUCGCGUCUGCUGUGAAAGCCCGGGGCUUAACCCCGUGGUGUGCAGUGGGUACGGGUAGACUAGAGUGCAGUAGGGGAGACUGGAAUUCCUGGUGUAGCGGUGAAAUGCGCAGAUAUCAGGAGGAACACCGAUGGCGAAGGCAGGUCUCUGGGCUGUUACUGACGCUGAGGAGCGAAAGCAUGGGGAGCGAACAGG
This 408-nucleotide ribosomal RNA is filed under the name uncultured bacterium. RNAcentral describes it as "bacterial SSU rRNA". It matches the Rfam family "Bacterial small subunit ribosomal RNA", at positions 357 to 776 of the family's 1533-position model. The record is from RNAcentral.